CAUAAAAAGCAUAUUUCUAAUGGCACAAUGCUUAAUGGACAAUGUGCUGGUAAAUGUUUAAUACCACAACAUCGACAACGUACAUUAUCAGACAAAGAAGACAGUAGAAAAAAGUUGUCAAGAACUGCUUUAGACAAAGAUCUUCCAACCAGUUGAUGAUUUUUUUCAAUUAUUUCGUAAGGUGGGUAAAAAACUGGAUCGUCUAUCAGUUGCAUUUCCGAAUCAUUAAUAUACUCUGAAGAAGUUAAUUUGUUAGCCACCUCUAAAUUGAUGGUGGAUAGAGUUUUGUUAAAUUCAUCUUCUUUGGGAGUUGUUGCUAAUAGAGAUUUAGCUAAGAUAGAGUCAAAAUGAACAUCUGCAGACUUUUGAGAAUCAGAUUCAUCAUUUAAGUUUUCGAUAUUUACGCUCGAAUCAUAUUUGAGUUUUUGCUUAUCAGAUAAAGUAUCUGUUAUCGAACUGAUUGUCUCAGUUUCUAUGGGAAAUGGGGAGCCUGGUGAUGAUCGAUCAUUAACGGUAUAAUCAGUAUCGUCGCUAUUAUCAUAAAUAUUUAAAUCUUCGCCAUAAUGGAUUUUGUGGUGUGCACGAAGUCUCCUGUUGGAAGUUGUUUCGUCUGUUUUUUCUAGCAUUGCAUCCUUCUCUCGUUGCUUAAGUAUUACUGACCAGACAUCUUCUUCAUCAACAAGAACAUUUUCUUUGACUUCAUAAUGAUUGGAAGAUAUAUGUUUGUUAUCCCAAACACGAAAAAAGCCAAACUUAUUGCUUUUUAUAUCUGAUUCAUCAGUUGAAGUAUCUUCUUGUUUCUCAGCUUCUGAGAUAAGUAAUUCUACCGAAUAUUCAUUAUACUUAAUAGACGGUUCAUCACCAGCCUCUUCAAAUAAUGCACGAGCCCCAUGCCGCAAGAUACUUUCUAAAUCUUUUUCUGAAUUAUGAUUUUGAUCCAAUGACUCAACAAUUAAGUGGUCCAAUACAAGCUUCUUUUGAGCGUUUUGAAUGAUUUUUUCCUCUACAGAAUCUCGAGUAGUUAACACAAAGACAAGUACCUUUUUUUUUUGCCCAUAUCGAUGAGCCCUUGCAAUCGCUUGCAUGUCUUGAUGAGGAUUGAAAUCAGGAUCUAGUAUAAUAACAGUGUCCGCACUAGCUAAAUUGAUGCCAACUCCACCAGCACGGGUAGAAAGUAAGAAACAUGACAACUCAGAAUUAGGAGCAUUAAAAGAGUCGAUUGCUGACUGCCUUUCCAUUUCCGAUGAGGCGCCAUCAAAACGUGCAUAGGCUAUGUUUUUAUAUUCAAACCAAUCUUCAAGGAUAUCGAGUUGCUGGAUAAAUUGAGAAAACAAUAAUAUACGAUGCCCGCGAGUUAUCAAUUUCGGUACCAAUAAGCGUAAUAUUAAAAACUUACAGCUGGCUUCUUCCAGUGAACGCAUAGCAAGUUCAUACGGGAGAUUACGGUCUUCAAUAUCUGGUGAAUAAAUGUACGGAUGAGCUAAUGUUUUUCGAAGUUGCAUCAAAAUGUUGUUCAAUGAAGUAGUCCUUUGCCCUCCAGAAGAACUGGUAUUAGCAUAGCCGGUAAUAUUACGUAGCAAAGACAAAUUUUUUGAAAGAAUCGAUUUGUAUAAACCUUUUUGAACAGGUGUCAUGGACAAAGGAAUAAUUACUUCAACCUUCGUAGGAAAGUUAUCCAGUACUUCGCUUUUCACUCUUCUUAAAAAAAACGGCUUUAAGAUUUGAUGAAGUUCAGUCACCUUUUCCGUAUCAAUAAUGCUGUAUCUUUUUUCAAGCUCAGCAGCAUUUAUUUUCAUGGGAUUUAAAAACUGCAGUAAAUUAAAAAGUUCCCGAACAUUAUUUUGCAAUGGCGUCCCGGUUAAAAGAAGCUUAAAGUCACUUUUAACCGAAGAGAGGUAAUAAAAGAGGGAAGAUUGAUCAUUUUUUAGUCGUUGUCCUUCGUCAACAAUUAAAACUUUCCACUGAAAUUUUCGGAGCAAUGAAAUUUCACGUUCAACAUUUGAAGCACUUAUAACGAGGACAUGAGUGCUUACAUGUUUUGGGUCUUUUUGAUUGAUUAGACGAUAAUCACGGACUAAACUUCUGUUUUUUUCAGAGCCCACGAGUACAUUAAUUUGUAGAAAGGGAGCCCAUUUUUUAAGCUCUCGUUCCCAAUUUGCAACAGUGGCAUGAGGGACAAUAACCAGUACCGGGAAGCAUUUAUGUCUGUAAAAUAAAACACUAAUGAAA
This 2229-nucleotide long non-coding RNA is filed under the name Schizosaccharomyces pombe (fission yeast). The record is from RNAcentral. Lineage: Eukaryota; Fungi; Ascomycota; Schizosaccharomycetes; Schizosaccharomycetales; Schizosaccharomycetaceae.